Molecule: long non-coding RNA, 343 nt
Filed under: Salvia miltiorrhiza (redroot sage)
Lineage: Eukaryota; Viridiplantae; Streptophyta; Magnoliopsida; Lamiales; Lamiaceae
Description: long non-coding RNA (SMIL_LNC010810)
Source: RNAcentral
AAAGUCAAAACCGAAAAGUACACUUGAUGGUGAUGGGUUGCUUGGUUUUUUGUAAAAGUUCUUACACUUUUCUUACACAAGUACAAUUGUGUAAGAAAAUGUGUAAGAUAGGUAGUUAAAAAUGCACAAAACCAGAUAAAUGUGCAAUUAUUGUAAGAUGAUUGACGUAUAAUGCCCUAAGUUUGAAAAUAAUGAAGGUAAGUUUGUGUAUAAUAAAACAGUAAUACGAGGAUGACAAAAAUUGUACUUUAAGUAUAUUUGGAAACAAAAAAAAUUAUGAACCUAAUGUAUACAUUAUCCGCCAGUAAAACAUAGCCGCUAGCAUUAGCCGCCGGGUUUAAAA